Molecule: ribosomal RNA, 253 nt
Filed under: uncultured bacterium
Lineage: Bacteria
Description: partial 16S ribosomal RNA
Rfam family: Bacterial small subunit ribosomal RNA
Source: RNAcentral
UACGAAGGGAGCGAGCGUUGUUCGGAAUCACUGGGCUUAAAGCGUGCGUAGGCGGAUGUGUAAGUCAGGAGUGAAAUCCCAGGGCUUAACCCUGGAACUGCUCUUGAGACUGCAUGUCUUGAAUUCGGAAGAGGUUGGUGGAACUCCCAGUGUAGAGGUGAAAUUCGCAGAUAUUGGGAAGAACACCGGUGGCGAAGGCGACCAACUGGUCCGACAUUGACGCUGAGGCACGAAAGCGUGGGUAGCAAACAGG